CGAGAAAGAACCAACAGGGAUGCCCCAGUAACGGCGAGUGAAGCGGCAACAGCUCAAAUUUGAAAUCUGGUCCCCAGGGCCCGAGUUGUAAUUUGCAGAGGAUGCUUUUGGUGAGGUGCCUUCCGAGUUCCCUGGAACGGGACGCCAUAGAGGGUGAGAGCCCCGUCUGGUUGGAUACCGAGCCUCUGUAAAGCUCCUUCGACGAGUCGAGUAGUUUGGGAAUGCUGCUCUAAAUGGGAGGUAUAUGUCUUCUAAAGCUAAAUAUUGGCCAGAGACCGAUAGCGCACAAGUAGAGUGAUCGAAAGAUGAAAAGCACUUUGAAAAGAGGGUUAAAUAGUACGUGAAAUUGUUGAAAGGGAAGCACUUAUGACCAGACUUGGCCCCGGUGAAUCAUCCAGCGGUUCCCGUUGGUGCACUUUGCCGGGGUUCAGGCCAGCAUCAGUUCGCUCCGGGGGAUAAAGGCUUUGGGAAUGUGGCUCCCUCGGGAGUGUUAUAGCCCAUUGCGCAAUACCCUGUGGCGGGCUGAGGUUCGCGCUUUAUGCAAGGAUGCUGGCAUAAUGGUCAUCAGUGACCCGUCUUGAAACACGGACCAAGGAGUCGUCUUCGUAUGCGAGUGUUCGGGUGUUAAACCCCUACGCGUAAUGAAAGUGAACGCAGGUGAGAGCCCUCCAGGGCGCAUCAUCGACCGAUCCUGAUGUUCUCGGAUGGAUUUGAGUAAGAGCAUACGGGGCCGGACCCGAAAGAAGGUGAACUAUGCCUGUAUAGGGUGAAGCCAGAGGAAACUCUGGUGGAGGCUCGCAGCGGUUCUGACGUGCAAAUCGAUCGUCAAUAUGGGCAUGGGGGCGAAAGACUAAUCGACC
This 860-nucleotide ribosomal RNA is filed under the name Metarhizium anisopliae. RNAcentral describes it as "partial large subunit ribosomal RNA". It matches the Rfam family "Eukaryotic large subunit ribosomal RNA", at positions 55 to 941 of the family's 3401-position model. The record is from RNAcentral. Lineage: Eukaryota; Fungi; Ascomycota; Sordariomycetes; Hypocreales; Clavicipitaceae.